This 67-nucleotide transfer RNA is filed under the name Oryctolagus cuniculus (rabbit). RNAcentral's name for it is "tRNA-Pro". It matches the Rfam family "tRNA". Rfam says of the family: Transfer RNA (tRNA) molecules are approximately 80 nucleotides in length. Their secondary structure includes four short double-helical elements and three loops (D, anti-codon, and T loops). The record is from RNAcentral. Lineage: Eukaryota; Metazoa; Chordata; Mammalia; Lagomorpha; Leporidae.
GCAGAGGGUAGUUUAAGUAGAAUAUCAGCUUUGGGUGCUGAUGGUGGGGCAGGAGCCUCUUCUCUGA